AAACCGUUCAGGGGUAAACCUGAGAAACCCAAAAGAUCGAAUGGGGAGAUUCAUCGUCAACGGUGCUGGCUCCCGUUUGUGCGCGAUGCUCCGAGUGGGCCCUCGUGGUUCCAUGGCGAGGGCACGCCACUUUCGGCUUGAACGUUCCGGCACCGUAGUCGUGCACUUCUCCCCUAGUAGAACGUCGCGACCCGUUGCGUGUCGGUCUACGGCCCGAGCGGGCGCCUGUCGCGGCGCAUUACGCGCACGCGGCAGACCCUCGGUUGCCCGGCCGGCUGCGCGACGGUACUCACACGGUAUCGGGCCGCAACCAAUCCAUUCUCGAAUGUGUGUGCGUCAGGCCCGCCGCAAGCUAGGGCAGUUUUACCCGGAGGUACGGACCUGGUGCCGUCCCCGGGCCUGACCAGCUGUUAGCAGGCGGUGUCCUCGGACUGGCCAAGCUUCGAAUUACCGGUCGGCGACGCUCCUGCUUUGGGUACUCUCAGGACCCGUCUUGAAACACGGACCAAGGAGUCUAACAUGUGCGCGAGUCAUUGGGAUGCAUAAACCUAAAGGCGCAAUGAAAGUGAAGGUCGGCCUAUGCGUCGACCUAGGGAGGAUGGGCCGCGUUACGAUGCGGCCCCGCACUCCCGGGGCGUUUCGUUCUCAUUGCGAGAAGAGGCGCACCUAGAGCGUACACGUUGGGACCCGAAAGAUGGUGAACUAUGCCUGGUCAGGACGAAGUCAGGGGAAACCCUGAUGGAGGUCCGUAGCGAUUCUGACGUGCAAAUCGAUCGUCGGAACUGGGUAUAGGGGCGAAAGACUAAUCGAACCAUCUAGUAGCUGGUUCCCUCCGAAGUUUCCCUCAGGAUAGCUGGCACUCGCUCGUUCCUCCGUGAACGCGUGCGAGUCUCAUCUGGUAAAGCGAAUGAUUAGAGGCCUUGGGGCCGAAACGACCUCAACCUAUUCUCAAACUUUAAAUGGGUGAGAUCUCUGGCUUGCUUGGAUUAUGAAGCCACGAGAUUUUGGAUCAGAGUGCCAAGUGGGCCAAUUUUGGUAAGCAGAACUGGCGCUGUGGGAUGAACCAAACGCAGAGUUAAGGCGCCUAAGUCGACGCUUAUGGGAUACCAUGAAAGGCGUUGGUUGCUUAAGACAGCAGGACGGUGGCCAUGGAAGUCGGAAUCCGCUAAGG
Molecule: ribosomal RNA, 1171 nt
Filed under: Mesonychium sp. ACM-2017
Lineage: Eukaryota; Metazoa; Arthropoda; Insecta; Hymenoptera; Apidae
Description: eukaryotic LSU rRNA
Rfam family: Eukaryotic large subunit ribosomal RNA
Source: RNAcentral